GUUUUGCUUUUACUCCUCCUAGAAGCAAUGGAACCUUGCCUGUUCCCUGGGGGUGAGACAGAUGACUGCCCGUACAUUAGCUACCUAACAUUUUUGCUUCUCAGGACAGAAGAGUAAGGGCAAGGGGACAAGACCCAUCUCCCCAAAGCAGCUGAUCCCCACUUGCACACUACACUACCAACGAAGCUAGCCAUUUCUGGUCUCCCAUGCUGCCUUUUCUGAGCACAUGGUGAAGAUCUAUGGAAAACAUUUUGAUGAAGAGAGAGUCCUUGGAAGGUGUCAUCAGGUAUUGACCAAACAAGCCACUGUCCUGGAUUUGCCUGUUUUUCCGGUUCCAAGGCCAUUCUUCUGCCUUGAGUGGUUCCUUGAGACUCUUUAUCAUCUUGACCUUCCCAGAAGAGAGCUCCACAAAGAGCACAUCAGUUUGUGUGCUUGAACUACCGUAGAUGUUAUAUUGGUGGGCUUCGGUAAAGGAUGGUUGAAAUGCCAGAUCAGAUAUGUGCAGAUUUGUGUGAAUAUCAAAAGCCUCCUGUAUUUCUCCUCUGAUGGUAAUGUACUGAACCCUUACAAGACCUUUCACAUCAUUAAUGCUGACAAGGUAGUGGCCAUCUGGAGAGACAUAUGGAGUGCCCGUCACAUCACUAUUGAACCCAAUGACUGAGUCAGUUACACCGUCCACCAUGACCUGUGGGGAAACUGCUCCGGUGCUGUCAGGCUUGCAGCCAAUGAAGUAGUAGCCUCCCAAGUGUGUAUAUGCCAAUGACUGAGGAACGCACUUAUAGUCCUUCAAGUUAAUUGUCUUGAUGUAUGACAUGGUUUCAAGAUCAAUUUUUUGUAGUGCAGCUUCAUCUUUAUGAAGAAUAAAUCCAAACCUGAAAAAAAUGAAAAUCAGAGUUAGACAGGAAACAAUGGAGUUUUAGCCACAAGAAAAAAAACUAGAUACAGGUGGAAAGGUCCAUCACAAGCCCAGGCUCUGAUUGUCAGGCGAGGCAGCAAUUUGUGUUACAAUUGUGCUAGAAUUAAUCUGUGGAUUGUGCCACUCCUAGGUCAUUCUUUCAUUACAUUCAAAUCAUCAUGACUCAUGCUGUAGAAAGAAAAAUAAUUAAAAGCAUACAUCUAGUUAAUUGCAGCAACAAAUUUUGCUUUUAACAUAGUGGAAAGAAGAAGUACACAUUAUUCUGUAAGUCUCUAGACCAUGCGAUAUUAAAUAAGCUUGGUUAACUAUUGCCAAACCCAGCAAGAGUAAAAGGCUUGAAUAUAUAUUGGUUUCACUCAUUUCAUUUACUUCUUAUAUUGUUUUGUGACCAUUAAAUAAAUCUGACACUCAUCAUUAUUUAGAUAAAUUUAGGUAUAACAUUUUUCAACCUUUCGAUGUUUAUAUUGUUAUUUUUAAUGAUAUGCCUGCAUUUUAUUUGUUAUCCUAUACUGAAUAAUGAAGAACUUUAUUUUUAUAUUAAAGCCAAUUAAACAAUUUUUGUUUAUUUGUUUUGUUGAUCUUAAAUUAGUUCAGAACUUUUCAAAGCAUAUUUGCUAAAUAUUGCUUGAGAAUUAUCAGAGAUACCUGUGGCAAGUAUAAAUAUAUUUUUAAACUCACCUAGAACACAAGCAACUUUCUAGCAAAAAUAAGUUAAACAAGAUACAAUGAGAUAGAAACUAUUAAACAAAAUUAUAUCCAAAGUAGAUAUUGGCCAAUAGAAUUGUAAAGGACUUUUAUUUAUGUUUGCAUUAACAAUAUUGUCACCUUCUAAUAGUUCUAAGAGCUCAUAAGAAAAAUAAGAGAAAUAUUUUUCCAUUCACUGUGUUCAUAAGUAAUACAAUGAAAUUACCUUAUUAUGAGUAUUAAGAUAAAGCAAAACAAAAACUCUAAAGAGAGCCAAUUAUGUUAUCAUCACCUGUGUAAUUAUCUUUAUGCUAAUUAUCACACAUAAUUAUCACACGUAAUUUUAUUUAUGUAAAACAAUGACCAUUUCCACACAUAGUACAAAAUAUGGUGCAAUCAGAGUAAUAUCUCUUUAAAAUUUUAAACGUAAGCAUUUAGCAAGCUCAAAAAUAUAAAUAAACAUAUAUUAAAUAUCAUAGAAAAAUAAAAUAUUCUCAAAAUCAGUCCUGUUUUGCAAUUGCAGAAGAAAGGGAGUGCCUACGCACAGAUGUUUUAUGAAAAUAGACAUAAAAUUGUAAUUGCUUCCAUUCUUCUUACCUUAAAUAUAGUUGACAAACCACAUUAUAAUUUUAGCUAUAUUUAAAAUUUAUGAGGAGACUAUUUGCUGUCAUUGGAGAGAGUACAAAUUCUUCUAUAUGAAUGAAAAUUCUCAAUGUAUAGCUACUCCUUUAUAAAGCUUUCUUAAAUAUUUGUUAAACAACUACUAAAUGCAAGACGCUGGGAAUAUAUUGCAGAUCAACAUAACUUUCCCUGUCUCCAAUGAGUCUAGACAUUUUGAGUGAUAAAAAAGUGAAACAGGGCUAGUGAAUAAAGCUUGAUUAUAGCAUUCUGCCAUACUAUUACCUAAUUUUGUACCUAUUUCUUGUUCCAUGUAUUUGAAAUGGCAUAAAGCAAUAUAUUUGAAAAUAAUAUUUUGAGUGUAUUUCUGAAUGAUGCCCACCACUUGUAGCUUAUUUGCUAACUGUUUAUCUUUUCCGUGUCCUUAAUAAAUGUGUUUGUGUCCUUUCAGUAAACCCAGCUCAUACCAUACCCAUUCAGGAUAAAUUUCAGUCUUGAUUAUGAUGGUAUGAAGAAACAUUCAUACUGUUGAUAAUUACUUAUAAAUAUUUUCAUUAAAGUAUUAAUGCCUUGUGUAUAAACAUAGUGUAGUUUUAAAAUCCUAUCUGAAU
Molecule: non-coding RNA, 2829 nt
Filed under: Pongo abelii (Sumatran orangutan)
Lineage: Eukaryota; Metazoa; Chordata; Mammalia; Primates; Hominidae
Source: RNAcentral